This is a long non-coding RNA of Melanotaenia boesemani (Boeseman's rainbowfish), 97 nucleotides long. RefSeq lists it as uncharacterized. NCBI's taxonomy places the organism in Eukaryota, Metazoa, Chordata, Actinopteri, Atheriniformes, Melanotaeniidae. The transcript is spliced from 4 exons. The record is from RefSeq and is a predicted model, not a curated record.
CAGGAAGCAGAACCAGAACCCUCUCGGUGGAACUGGCUCCCAGUUUGACUUCAGGUAUCAGACCCCCUCUCUACCUUCAGAUCAGCUUUAAACUUUC